AUUCAAAUAGAAGUGUUGUAUUAAUCUCAUUAAUUGUCAUGUGUAGCUUGAAGCUAAUUGUAAUUUCUCUCUUACCCAUAUAUGAUAUUUUAUUAUGUAUUUUAUCAAAUCACAUAAGUUUGUAAGAAACUGUUUAAUUUUCCAAAAAGAUUUUUAAUCAUAGGAAUAUAAUGUUCCACAUGCUGGUCAGAGGGAUGUGGGUGGAAUGUAAAGCCAGACUAAAGUAAAGCCACAACUUACACAACAGUGUUCAGAUCAUCUGUUUUCCUGACACAAUCAUUAUAAUGCAAUAUUUCUGUCUGACAUCACAUGCAUGUGUGAGUCAUGAAAAUUAUGAAACUAAAUCUAGGAAUUAUUUGAUUGUUGGAUUUUAAAUCAGCGCCGUUGAGGCAUCAAAAGUAACUAAGCACCUAGCUGUUUUAUGGAUGGUAACUGUAAUGUUAUUACUAAAAUAUUAUUAGUAAGUAGUAACACUACUAGUUACUGAAAAAAGUAAUAUUAUUACAGUAACUUAGUUAUUGCCCAACACUGGUCUUCAAUGAUCUAUAGAACACUGUUCCUGCCCUGCUCACUCUUCACCUCCAUUCUUGCUCUCACACACAUACACAAAAAUGCGUGUGCACUCACACACACUCAGACAAACUUUGAUCUUCCUAUGCCCACAGAGUAGAUAAGGAUGAAAGAGGUGUGGAAAAGUAUUGUCUUCUUGACCUUUUGAAGUAUGUGACUGAAGUUCAGAGAAAAACAGCAGCAAGAUUUGUUCAGCCAAUUAAAUGUAAUGAAACAAAUAGUGAUAUUUUUAGAUAUUGACAAGUAUAAGUAUCUUCUUAAAUGAAACCUAAAAUUCUACUUUUUUCUUUCAUGGUAGAUCAAGAUGCAGAAGAAAGUGCUGUUCUUCCCAGGGAGAAUCUGUGUUGUGUUCCGCAAGGGACCACUCGGAUUUCUCCUCCAGGAGCCAUCUAAAGAAGCCAGACGUAUUAAGGAUGAUCCCACUCUGCAGGACAAGUCUGCGCCCAUAAGACAGGACCUUGUGCAGCAGAAUGCUCUGUCUGUGGUCGUUCAGAGAGGAGGGGAUGCCUCUGACAGGACGGAGGUCCUGGGAGACUACAUCCUGCAAUUUGGAAAGUAUAAAGGGAAGUCCUUUAGAUGGCUUUUAGAGAAUGAUGUAGGGUACACUAUGUAUCUCAUCAAGAAUCUUCAGAAGGAGGAGGCGUCAGGCAUCCCUGUGGCCGAGGGGCAUGGCAAGGACAGUCUACUGUCAUUUGUUAAUUAUGCCCUUAGUUUUGAAGAGAUCCAGUCUCUUCUCACCUAUGAGGCCAGUGGAGUGGGUGUUGGGGCAGCCUCAUCGGAAGAUGACCAGCUGGUUGGCUUUGGUUCCCGGGCCAAGAGCACCUGGAAGGAGAUAUGGGAUAGCAGAGCUGAUGGCUACGCAGACUUCAUCAUGAAGAAGAGCUGCGUCCCAGGGACACGCAUGUACAAGCUGCAGCAAUACCUGCGGAAGAGGCAGCAAUCUGCCACUGCUUCCAUACCUGCUGAACAUACCUCAAGGGCCCCAGCAAAACCCCUGGUGAUGGAUGAUGAUGAAGAGCUGGAGAGAGCGAUGUUGAGCAUCUCACCCUCUAAGCUUCAAGUGCAGAGCUUUGCUGUGCCAGCAGCAGUAGCAGCAGCUGCCAUACCCAGAGUGUCACCAGGAGCAAAGACAGGUUUUUAAAUAAGAGGUUUCAGGACUGGAGUAAGAUGAAUUGCCCUCCAAAACUGAACCUUGACUUAAACUGUUAUAUUGUUUGCGUUCUGGCCAUGUUCCUCCAACAAUAUGGUUGUAUGCUGGCAUUAUACUAACUGUCCUAAGGACUAUGAAUUCCUGCCAUGAUGAAUUACAACCACAAUGAGGGUAAGUGUGCAUUUUUCUGCAUUCAUGUUGUUUAAAGGUACUAACACUUGAAUGCAUGCUUUUUCACUGAGUCAUAUUGCUCCUCCUGCUUAGACUAGUGAGUAGUUUUU
Molecule: long non-coding RNA, 2001 nt
Organism: Cyprinus carpio carpio
Lineage: Eukaryota; Metazoa; Chordata; Actinopteri; Cypriniformes; Cyprinidae
Source: Ensembl